CAUGGUUUUGAGGGACACACUCCUGCCAUGGUUUUGAGGGACACACUCCUCCCAUGGUUUUGAGGCACACACUCCUGUCAUGGUUUAAAAGGACACUCUCCUGCCAUGGUUUAGAAGGACACUCUCCUGUCAUGGUUUUGAGGGACACACUCCUGCCAUGGUUUUGAGGGACACACUCCUCCCAUGGUUUUGAGGCACACACUCCUGUCAUGGUUUAAAAGGACACUCUCCUGCCAUGGUUUUGAGGGACACACUCCUCCCAUGGUUUUGAGGCACACACUCCUGUCAUGGUUUAAAAGGACACUCUCCUGCCAUGGUUUUGAGGGACACUCUCCUGCAAUGGUUUCAAAGGACACACUCAGAGCAAGGUACUCACCAGGGUUGAGGUCCAGGCAGUGAGCAGUGUCCUCUCCUUCCCCCAGCUCUCCAUGAGGACUCAGGCUCUCCAUGGACAAAUCCAAGCCCUUCUCCUCCCAGUCCCGGAGUUUCCUCUUCUUGUUUGUCCCGAUCAGAGCCUCCACCGAGAAGGCAUGAGCUCUGGAGCUGAGAGUGACUGCGGAUCUCCUCCUGUCACUCAUGGUCUGCCCCCCAAAACUAGUCCUGGCACCCCCUUCCAAAGCCCCAACCCAAAGCCCCACCACCAAGCUGAGUCCUGGCCGAGCCCUACAUGGAGGAGAAGGGGUCUGUGGCCCCUGCUCAGGCAGUUUUGGGGCCCCUGGGUGGCCAGUAUGAGAGCUCCACAAAGUCCAGGCUGUCCUCUCAGUGAUUGAUCCAGACUGCUGGGAAAGUGUCUCCAGUGUGGGGCUGGCUGUCAGAAUCCCCCAGCCCAAUAGGGGGAGAGCACAGACACACAGCCCAAUGGCAUGGGCUGGAGGGGGGGCUACAAACCUAAAAACUGCUUCACCUUUAACCCUUGCUGCUCCGAGAAACAGGCAUCCCAGCAGAACCUCAAAG
Non-coding RNA from Pelobates cultripes (western spadefoot toad), 954 nucleotides. NCBI's taxonomy places the organism in Eukaryota, Metazoa, Chordata, Amphibia, Anura, Pelobatidae. The record is from the annotation of a GenBank genome assembly.